This 253-nucleotide ribosomal RNA is filed under the name uncultured bacterium. RNAcentral's name for it is "partial 16S ribosomal RNA". It matches the Rfam family "Bacterial small subunit ribosomal RNA", at positions 524 to 776 of the family's 1533-position model. The record is from RNAcentral.
UACAGAGGUGGCAAGCGUUGUUCGGAAUUACUGGGCGUAAAGGGCGCGUAGGCGGCCAUCUAAGUCAGACGUGAAAUCCCCCGGCUUAACCUGGGAACUGCGUCUGAUACUGGACGGCUAGAGUAUGGGAGAGGGAUGUAGAAUUCCAGGUGUAGCGGUGAAAUGCGUAGAUAUCUGGAGGAACACCGGUGGCGAAGGCGGCAUCCUGGACCAUUACUGACACUGAAACGCGAAAGCCAGGGGAGCAAACGGG